RNAcentral lists this long non-coding RNA (936 nucleotides) under Vigna radiata. RNAcentral's name for it is "long non-coding RNA (VRAD_LNC007477)". The record is from RNAcentral. Lineage: Eukaryota; Viridiplantae; Streptophyta; Magnoliopsida; Fabales; Fabaceae.
CGGUUUCUUAUAACCUCAGAAUCAUCAUUUAAGUAGAGAGUGAUAAUUUGAAAGUGUGUCUCUUUUUAACUGGACUUUGAAACGUUUAAUUCCUUAUUGGGUACUUUAAGACAUGGAUUAUUAGUUAGGGUGUAUUAAUUGUUUACGUUAUUAAUGAGUUUAAAUGAAAGGAUACAGAAGGUGGAGCGUGAGAAUGUUGUUGAAUCAUGCGUGGUCUGUGCCUAACCAAAAGAUUUAUGAAAAAUAAAAUAAUUUUAAUAAAAAAGAAAAAAAGGAAAAGAUGAAAAAGCGGGGAAUGGUGGGUCCGAAGUUCGGAGGCAAAGAAUUGAAGUUACAGCAGAAGAUGCCGGCCACGUGAAUGGGUAAACUAAAAAAAGAAAAAAAAAAAAAAGAGUUUGUAGAUAAAGUGGGGUCCACAGAGCCACGUAAGAUGUGAGGGGGAGAGGUGGGGCCCACUCUAUCCAUAUGUUCAAAGUUGCAUCUCUAUCCUUUUUACUAAUUCUCACAAGUCACAGGCGCAGGCCCACGACAUCUUCGCUCAGAAAUCAUCAACAGUAACGCCCCUAUUCUCACACGUGUCGCACUCACCCCAAGUCAGGAUAACCCUCACCCCAAGUCAACUCAUCACUACACAACAAAUUCUUUUCUUACUUAUUAUAACUCUUUGCCGAUAAAACCAAAAUCUAUUUCUUUUUUUUCCCAUCCAAUAAAUAUUUUUACAAUACUCUCCUUUUACCACGUCUAUUAGAUAUUUUGAAAAGCUUCCAUAGAAAUGAUUAUUUUUUAGAAUGUUUAAAUAAACGGUUACAUGGUCUUUAUGAAUAAAUAAUGAUUAAAAGGUGUAUUUGUCGGUGCUUUUACUUUAUCAUUUAUGAAGGUAAACGUAAGUCGAAGGGGUUAUUUUAUUUUAGCUUGACUGUUUAUUUAUUUAUUUAU